AGCGGCGGACGGGUGAGUAAUGUCUGGGAAACAGCCUGAUGGAGGGGGAUAACUACUGGAAACGGUAGCUAAUACCGCAUAACGUCGCAAGACCAAAGAGGGGGACCUUCGGGCCUCUUGCCAUCAGAUGUGCCCAGAUGGGAUUAGCUAGUAGGUGGGGUAACGGCUCACCUAGGCGACGAUCCCUAGCUGGUCUGAGAGGAUGACCAGCCACACUGGAACUGAGACACGGUCCAGACUCMUACGGGAGGCAGCAGUGGGGAAUAUUGCACAAUGGGCGCAAGCCUGAUGCAGCCAUGCCGCGUGUAUGAAGAAGGCCUUCGGGUUGUAAAGUACUUUCAGCGGGGAGGAAGGYGUUGAGGUUAAUAACCUCAGCRAUUGACGUUACCCGCAGAAGAAGCACCGGCUAACUCCGUGCCAGCAGCCGCGGUAAUACGGAGGGUGCAAGCGUUAAUCGGAAUUACUGGGCGUAAAGCGCACGCAGGCGGUCUGUCAAGUCGGAUGUGAAAUCCCCGGGCUCAACCUGGGAACUGCAUUCGAAACUGGCAGGCUAGAGUCUUGUAGAGGGGGGUAGAAUUCCAGGUGUAGCGGUGAAAUGCGUAGAGAUCUGGAGGAAUACCGGUGGCGAAGGCGGCCCCCUGGACAAAGACUGACGCUCAGGUGCGAAAGCGUGGGGAGCAMACAGGAUUAGAUACCCUGGUAGUCCACGCCGUAAACGAUGUCGACUUGGAGGUUGUGCCCUUGAGGCGUGGCUUCCGGAGCUAACGCGUUAAGUCGACCGCCUGGGGAGUACGGCCGCAAGGUUAAAACUCAAAUGAAUUGACGGGGGCCCGCACAAGCGGUGGAGCAUGUGGUUUAAUUCGAUGCAACGCGAAGAACCUUACCUACUCUUGACAUCCAGAGAACUUAGCAGAGAUGCUUUGGUGCCUUCGGGAACUCUGAGACAGGUGCUGCAUGGCUGUCGUCAGCUCGUGUUGUGAAAUGUUGGGUUAAGUCCCGCAACGAGCGCAACCCUUAUCCUUUGUUGCCAGCGGUCCGGCCGGGAACUCAAAGGAGACUGCCAGUGAUAAACUGGAGGAAGGUGGGGAUGACGUCAAGUCAUCAUGGCCCUUACGAGUAGGGCUACACACGUGCUACAAUGGCGCAUACAAAGAGAAGCGACCUCGCGAGAGCAAGCGGACCUCAUAAAGUGCGUCGUAGUCCGGAUUGGAGUCUGCAACUCGACUCCAUGAAGUCGGAAUCGCUAGUAAUCGUAGAUCAGAAUGCUACGGUGAAUACGUUCCCGGGCCUUGUACACACCGCCCGUCACACCAUGGGAGUGGGUUGCAA
This 1329-nucleotide ribosomal RNA is filed under the name Enterobacter roggenkampii. Its description in RNAcentral is "bacterial SSU rRNA". Lineage: Bacteria; Pseudomonadati; Pseudomonadota; Gammaproteobacteria; Enterobacterales; Enterobacteriaceae. The record is from RNAcentral.